RNAcentral lists this ribosomal RNA (433 nucleotides) under uncultured bacterium. Its description in RNAcentral is "partial 16S ribosomal RNA". It matches the Rfam family "Bacterial small subunit ribosomal RNA", at positions 29 to 507 of the family's 1533-position model. The record is from RNAcentral.
AACGAACGCUGGCGGCAUGCCUAACACAUGCAAGUCGAACGAGACCUUCGGGUCUAGUGGCGCACGGGUGCGUAACGCGUGGGAACCUGCCCUUAGGUUCGGAAUAACUCCCCGAAAGGGGUGCUAAUACCGGAUAAUCUCUUCGGACCAAAGAUUUAUCGCCUUUGGAUGGGCCCGCGUUGGUUUAGCUAGUUGGUAGUGUAAAAGCCUACCAAGGCGACGAUCCAUAGCUGGUCUGAGAGGAUGAUCAGCCACACUGGGACUGAGACACGGCCCAGACUCCUACGGGAGGGAGCAGUGGGGAAUAUUGGACAAGGGGCGAAAGCCUGAUCCAGCAAUGCCGCGUGAGUGAUGAAGGCCUUAGGGUUGUAAAGCUCUUUUACCCGGGAUGAUAAUGACAGUACCGGGAGAAUAAGCUCCGGCUAACUCCGUG